RNAcentral lists this ribosomal RNA (428 nucleotides) under Bacteroidota bacterium. RNAcentral's name for it is "Bacteroidetes bacterium partial 16S ribosomal RNA". It matches the Rfam family "Bacterial small subunit ribosomal RNA", at positions 355 to 776 of the family's 1533-position model. The record is from RNAcentral. Lineage: Bacteria; Pseudomonadati; Bacteroidota.
UAGGGAAUCUUCCGCAAUGGGCGAAAGCCUGACGGAGCAACGCCGCGUGAGUGAUGAAGGUCUUCGGAUCGUAAAACUCUGUUAUUAGGGAAGAACAAAUGUGUAAGUAACUAUGCACGUCUUGACGGUACCUAAUCAGAAAGCCACGGCUAACUACGUGCCAGCAGCCGCGGUAAUACGUAGGUGGCAAGCGUUAUCCGGAAUUAUUGGGCGUAAAGCGCGCGUAGGCGGUUAGAUAAGUCUGAAGUUAAAGGCAGUGGCUCAACCAUUGUAGGCUUUGGAAACUGUUUAACUUGAGUGCAGAAGGGGAGAGUGGAAUUCCAUGUGUAGCGGUGAAAUGCGUAGAUAUAUGGAGGAACACCGGUGGCGAAAGCGGCUCUCUGGUCUGUAACUGACGCUGAGGCUCGAAAGCGUGGGGAGCGAACAGG